UCACUGGAGACGCGGGCUAAAAGCAUGGAAGAAGAAUGAGGGACGCUAGGUCUUCGAGACAUGCUAGUAGAAAUAGGGCAAACAAGAAGAGACAAAUAUAUAUAUAUUUUUAUGGUUUAGGGAGCGGAGAGGGAAGGAGUCUUUAGAGGGUGGUGGAGGAGGAGGAGGAGGAGGAGGGAAUAGGAAAUAGGAGAAAAUAGAAGGGGACAGUUGUCUUCGAUGCU
RNAcentral lists this long non-coding RNA (224 nucleotides) under Populus tremula. Its description in RNAcentral is "long non-coding RNA (PTRE_LNC002338)". Lineage: Eukaryota; Viridiplantae; Streptophyta; Magnoliopsida; Malpighiales; Salicaceae. The record is from RNAcentral.